Molecule: ribosomal RNA, 648 nt
Filed under: uncultured beta proteobacterium
Lineage: Bacteria; Pseudomonadati; Pseudomonadota; Betaproteobacteria
Description: bacterial SSU rRNA
Rfam family: Bacterial small subunit ribosomal RNA
Source: RNAcentral
AGAGUUUGAUCCUGGCUCAGAUUGAACGCUGGCGGCAUGCCUUACACAUGCAAGUCGAACGGUAGAGUAGCAAUACUUGAGAGUGGCGAACGGGUGAGUGAUAUAUCGGAACGUGCCCAGUCGUGGGGGAUAACGUAGAGAAAUUUACGCUAAUACCGCAUACGAUCUAAGGAUGAAAGCGGGGGACUCGCAAGAGCCUCGCGCGAUUGGAGCGGCUGAUAUCAGAUUAGGUUGUCGGUGAGGUAAAAGCUCACCAAGCCGACGAUCUGUAGCUGGUUUGAGAGAACGACCAGCCACACUGGGACUGAGACACGGCCCAGACUCCUACGGGAGGCAGCAGUGGGGAAUUUUGGACAAUGGGCGAAAGCCUGAUCCAGCAAUGCCGCGUGUGGGAAGAAGGCCUUCGGGUUGUAAACCACUUUUGUACGGAACGAAACGGUCUGCAUUAAUACGGUGGGCCCAUGACGGUACCGUAAGAAUAAGCACCGGCUAACUACGUGCCAGCAGCCGCGGUAAUACGUAGGGUGCGAGCGUUAAUCGGAAUUACUGGGCGUUAAGCGUGCGCAGGCGGUGAUGUUAAACAGUUUGUGAAAAUCCCCGGGCUCAACCUGGGAAUUGCGUCUUGUGACUGCAUCGCUUAGAGUACGG